This 414-nucleotide ribosomal RNA is filed under the name Cryptosporidium parvum. RNAcentral describes it as "SSU rRNA". It matches the Rfam family "Eukaryotic small subunit ribosomal RNA", at positions 327 to 764 of the family's 1831-position model. Lineage: Eukaryota; Apicomplexa; Conoidasida; Eucoccidiorida; Cryptosporidiidae. The record is from RNAcentral.
GGUAGGGUAUUGGCCUACCGUGGCAAUGACGGGUAACGGGGAAUUAGGGUUCGAUUCCGGAGAGGGAGCCUGAGAUACGGCUACCACAUCUAAGGAAGGCAGCAGGCGCGCAAAUUACCCAAUCCUAAUACAGGGAGGUAGUGACAAGAAAUAACAAUACAGGACUUUUUGGUUUUGUAAUUGGAAUGAGUUAAGUAUAAACCCCUUUACAAGUAUCAAUUGGAGGGCAAGUCUGGUGCCAGCAGCCGCGGUAAUUCCAGCUCCAAUAGCGUAUAUUAAAGUUGUUGCAGUUAAAAAGCUCGUAGUUGGAUUUCUGUUAAUAAUUUAUAUAAAAUAUUUUGAUGAAUAUUUAUAUAAUAUUAACAUAAUUCAUAUUACUAUAUAUUUUAGUAUAUGAAAUUUUACUUUGAGAAA